This 570-nucleotide ribosomal RNA is filed under the name uncultured bacterium. RNAcentral's name for it is "bacterial SSU rRNA". It matches the Rfam family "Bacterial small subunit ribosomal RNA", at positions 108 to 654 of the family's 1533-position model. The record is from RNAcentral.
GAGUAACACGUAAGUAACUUGCCCUAAGGAAAGGGAUAACCUUCCGAAAGGAGGGCUAAUACCUUAUAAUGCAUUAGCCCACUAAGGGCUAAUGUGAAAGGGGGCCUCUGCUCUGCAUGCUCCCGCCUUAGGAGAGACUUGCGGCCCAUCAGGUAGUUGGUGGGGUAACGGCCUACCAAGCCUAUGACGGGUAGCCGGUCUGAGAGGAUGGCCGGCCACAGUGGGACUGAGACACGGCCCACACCCCUACGGGGGGCAGCAGUGGGGAAUCGUGGGCAAUGGGCGAAAGCCUGACCCCGCGACGCCGCGUGGAGGAAGAAGCCCUUCGGGGUGUAAACUCCUGUCAGGAGGGACGAUGUAGAUAAGGGCGAAUAGUUCUUAUCUAUGACGGUACCUCCAGAGGAAGGGACGGCUAACUACGUGCCAGCAGCCGCGGUAAUACGUAGGUCCCAAGCGUUGCGCGAAUUUACUGGGCGUAAAGCGUCCGCAGCCUGACGGGUAAGCGGUUUGUCAAAGCCCACCGCUCAACGGUGGAAAGGCAUACCGAACUGUCUGUCUUGAGGCACGCUC